RNAcentral lists this transfer RNA (85 nucleotides) under Felis catus (domestic cat). It matches the Rfam family "tRNA". From Rfam's summary of the family: Transfer RNA (tRNA) molecules are approximately 80 nucleotides in length. Their secondary structure includes four short double-helical elements and three loops (D, anti-codon, and T loops). The record is from Rfam by way of RNAcentral. Lineage: Eukaryota; Metazoa; Chordata; Mammalia; Carnivora; Felidae. RNAcentral also lists the same sequence under 1 other name.
GCUUGGGUGGCUCAGCCAGUUGAGCGUCUGACUUUGGCUCAGGUCAUGAUCUCAUGGUUCGUGAGUUCGAGCCCCACAUCGGGCU